Molecule: long non-coding RNA, 649 nt
Filed under: Phoenix dactylifera (date palm)
Lineage: Eukaryota; Viridiplantae; Streptophyta; Magnoliopsida; Arecales; Arecaceae
Description: long non-coding RNA (PDAC_LNC012084)
Source: RNAcentral
CCGUAUACAUCAUCCCCGUGUCCAGCUGCUCAACUCCAAGCAUCUCCCUGCAUCCACGUCCGCCCGUUCGCAUGAGAUCCUCCCAACGUCCACGGUCUUCCAUUGCUUCGGAACAGCCGGGAUCUUCCGAACCAAUCCAACCGGUUGCAUCCUUAUCCCUUCUUCAAAUCCCAGCAACCGUAUGCUUUCAUCCCAGCAAAAUUCCAAUAUCCCUCUGGAUUACGUGGAUCCAAUCUUCAUCUCAGUUCACGGCUCUUCACUCCUUCCCAGCCGAAUCAACCAACCUUCUCCAGAUUCCACGUCCACGAACAGAUCCCAUGCCUCCCAGGCGACCGUUCCCAAGCCUCCCCUGCUUCUCUCCCACAAACAAUGCUCCACAUCACAGCCGUAACCUCCUUCCAAACCAAAUCCAGAACCUGUCCUAGCCUCCCUCCGGAUCGCGUUCGUGAUCUACGUUCAUCCCACGACCGCAUCAAAUCCCCUGUUACGUGUAUCUCCCGUUCACGAUAGCCUUCAUCCACCCACGCCUCCCCUAUUUCAUGAGCUUCAUCUCCCAGCCUUGCAUCCUUAUCUCUACUUCGGAACAGAGUUCCAGCAUCCCGUUCGUGAGCCAUAUCCUCCCUAAUCAUCCACGAUUCAAGGGAUCAGC